This 465-nucleotide ribosomal RNA is filed under the name Vreelandella stevensii. RNAcentral describes it as "partial 16S ribosomal RNA". It matches the Rfam family "Bacterial small subunit ribosomal RNA", at positions 338 to 795 of the family's 1533-position model. Lineage: Bacteria; Pseudomonadati; Pseudomonadota; Gammaproteobacteria; Oceanospirillales; Halomonadaceae. The record is from RNAcentral.
CCUACGGGUGGCUGCAGUGGGGAAUAUUGGACAAUGGGCGAAAGCCUGAUCCAGCCAUGCCGCGUGUGUGAAGAAGGCCUUCGGGUUGUAAAGCACUUUCAGUGGGGAAGAAAGCCUUGGGGCUAAUACCCUCGAGGAAGGACAUCACCCACAGAAGAAGCACCGGCUAACUCCGUGCCAGCAGCCGCGGUAAUACGGAGGGUGCGAGCGUUAAUCGGAAUAACUGGGCGUAAAGCGCGCGUAGGCGGUCUGAUAAGCCGGUUGUGAAAGCCCCGGGCUCAACCUGGGAACGGCAUCCGGAACUGUCAGGCUAGAGUGCAGGAGAGGAAGGUAGAAUUCCCGGUGUAGCGGUGAAAUGCGUAGAGAUCGGGAGGAAUACCAGUGGCGAAGGCGGCCUUCUGGACUGACACUGACGCUGAGGUGCGAAAGCGUGGGUAGCAAACAGGAUUAGAUACCCGGGUAGUC